This 590-nucleotide ribosomal RNA is filed under the name Streptomyces sp. SCAU9003. RNAcentral describes it as "bacterial SSU rRNA". It matches the Rfam family "Bacterial small subunit ribosomal RNA", at positions 101 to 704 of the family's 1533-position model. The record is from RNAcentral. Lineage: Bacteria; Bacillati; Actinomycetota; Actinomycetes; Kitasatosporales; Streptomycetaceae.
AACGGGUGAGUAACACGUGGGCAAUCUGCCCUUCACUCUGGGACAAGCCCUGGAAACGGGGUCUAAUACCGGAUACUGACCCUCGCAGGCAUCUGCGAGGUUCGAAAGCUCCGGCGGUGAAGGAUGAGCCCGCGGCCUAUCAGCUUGUUGGUGAGGUAAUGGCUCACCAAGGCGACGACGGGUAGCCGGCCUGAGAGGGCGACCGGCCACACUGGGACUGAGACACGGCCCAGACUCCUACGGGAGGCAGCAGUGGGGAAUAUUGCACAAUGGGCGAAAGCCUGAUGCAGCGACGCCGCGUGAGGGAUGACGGCCUUCGGGUUGUAAACCUCUUUCAGCAGGGAAGAAGCGAAAGUGACGGUACCUGCAGAAGAAGCGCCGGCUAACUACGUGCCAGCAGCCGCGGUAAUACGUAGGGCGCAAGCGUUGUCCGGAAUUAUUGGGCGUAAAGAGCUCGUAGGCGGCUUGUCACGUCGGUUGUGAAAGCCCGGGGCUUAACCCCGGGUCUGCAGUCGAUACGGGCAGGCUAGAGUUCGGUAGGGGAGAUCGGAAUUCCUGGUGUAGCGGUGAAAUGCGCAGAUAUCAGGAGG